AGCGCAGACGGUUGAUUAAGUCUGAUGUGAAAGCCCGGAGCUCAACUCCGGAAUGGCAUUGGAAACUGGUUAACUUGAGUGCAGUAGAGGUAAGUGGAACUCCAUGUGUAGCGGUGGAAUGCGUAGAUAUAUGGAGGAACACCAGUGGCGAAGGCGGCUUACUGGACUGUAACUGACGUUGAGGCUCGAAAGUGUGGGUAGCAAACA
RNAcentral lists this ribosomal RNA (207 nucleotides) under uncultured bacterium. RNAcentral describes it as "partial 16S ribosomal RNA". It matches the Rfam family "Bacterial small subunit ribosomal RNA", at positions 568 to 774 of the family's 1533-position model. The record is from RNAcentral.